UGUGAUUUUCUAACCAUGUAUUUAUACAAAUGGCAUGGAUUUGGGCUUCAUACAAGGCAACUGUUUGUACUACAUGGUUUAGAAGCCGCAUUGCAGAGUAAAUAAAACCCAGUCCGCAAUCGCUAGAAGGGUCCAGCCCAAAACUCACUUGUAUAAAUACAUGGUUAGAAAAUCACAGUAAAAUGUGAAGGCAAAUUUCAUCAUAAUGAGGAUAAGAGAACAAAGAAGUAAAACGUAGUCCACUAAUCCAAAUUAGCACAAUUGUUCCUAAGUUAACCAGAUGGAAAAUAUCUAAAGUACAUCUUCAUGCCACAGGGCAUUAGCCAGUCAGGGGUCUCUUUAGACCGCCAAUAAUCAUUUCUAAAUC
RNAcentral lists this unclassified non-coding RNA (367 nucleotides) under Hevea brasiliensis (rubber tree). Lineage: Eukaryota; Viridiplantae; Streptophyta; Magnoliopsida; Malpighiales; Euphorbiaceae. The record is from RNAcentral.